This 684-nucleotide ribosomal RNA is filed under the name Triticum aestivum (bread wheat). Its description in RNAcentral is "partial small subunit ribosomal RNA". Lineage: Eukaryota; Viridiplantae; Streptophyta; Magnoliopsida; Poales; Poaceae. The record is from RNAcentral.
AUGGGCAACAAAACCUGGAGCCAGGGCAUGAGCUUGCCAUUGCCACUUCUCGCUGUCCUCAUGGUCAUCGCCGUGGUGGUGAGCGCCGGCGACGAGGUUGCGCUACUCGCUUUCAGAGCCAAGGUCGGUGACGGUGGUUCCCUUGCCUCCUGGAACAGCAGCGCCCACUUCUGCAGCUGGGAGGGCGUGACGUGCAGCCACGGGAGGCCCGCGCGGGUGGUGGAGCUGAGCUUGCCUGCCAUGGCCCUCACCGGAGCACUAUCCCCAGCCGUCGGGAACCUCACGUUCCUGCAGAAGCUCGACCUGAGCUCCAACGGGCUCCACGGGGAGAUUCCGGGGAGCCUCAGGCACUUACGCCACCUGCAGCACCUCGAUCUCUCUGAUAACCAGCUUGUGGGCUCGAUCCCACCGGAGCUCGGCAGCAUCCAGAGCAUGGAGAUACUCGGACUGUCCAGUAACAACCUCUCUGGAAACCAGUUGACUGGCCAAAUACCUAGCAGUUUAGGAAAUUGUAUAGUUCUACAAAAGCUCUUAUUGGAUAAGAAUUUAUUUGAAGGAAGCAUACCCCAAUCUCUGGAAAAUAUAAAAGGGCUCAAUAUAUUGAAUCUUACCAUGAAUAAUUUGUCUGGUACGAUAUCCCUGACGCCAUUGGCAGCAUUCGAGCCCUACACGAACUGUACCUAG